UACGGAGGGUGCGAGCGUUAAUCGGAAUCACUGGGCGUAAAGCGCGCGUAGGCGGCUUUUCAAGUCAGGGGUGAAAUCCCGCGGCCCAACCGUGGAACUGCCUUUGAAACUGUAGAGCUUGAGUGUCGGAGAGGGUGGCGGAAUUCCAGGUGUAGGAGUGAAAUCCGUAGAUAUCUGGAGGAACACCGGUGGCGAAGGCGGCUACCUGGACGACAACUGACGCUGAGGUGCGAAAGCGUGGGUAGCAAACAGG
Molecule: ribosomal RNA, 253 nt
Filed under: uncultured bacterium
Lineage: Bacteria
Description: partial 16S ribosomal RNA
Rfam family: Bacterial small subunit ribosomal RNA
Source: RNAcentral